This 388-nucleotide ribosomal RNA is filed under the name uncultured bacterium. RNAcentral's name for it is "bacterial SSU rRNA". It matches the Rfam family "Bacterial small subunit ribosomal RNA", at positions 30 to 417 of the family's 1533-position model. The record is from RNAcentral.
AGUGAACGCUGGCGGCAUGCCUAACACAUGCAAGUCGAACGGUAACAGGCCCGCAAGGGUGCUGACGAGUGGCGGACGGGUGAGGAAUACAUCGGAAUUUGCCCAGUCGUGGGGGAUAACGUAGGGAAACUUACGCUAAUACCGCAUACGACCUAACGGUGAAAGCGGGGGACCUGCAAGGGCCUCGCGCGGAUGGAUAAGCCGAUGUCGGAUUAGCUAGUUGGCGGGGUAAGAGCCCACCAAGGCGACGAUCCGUAGCUGGUCUGAGAGGAUGAUCAGCCACACUGGGACUGAGACACGGCCCAGACUCCUACGGGAGGCAGCAGUGGGGAAUCUUGCGCAAUGGCGAAAGCCUGACGCAGCGACGCCGCGUGAGGGAAGAAGGCCU